Long non-coding RNA from Olea europaea var. sylvestris, 763 nucleotides. RefSeq lists it as uncharacterized. The transcript has 2 exons. The record is from RefSeq and is a predicted model, not a curated record. Lineage: Eukaryota; Viridiplantae; Streptophyta; Magnoliopsida; Lamiales; Oleaceae.
CUUUCUCUUCUUUGAAUAUAUGUAUACUUUUGAGAAAGGGAGGAUGAGAUGGUUGUCCAUCGAGAGGUGGCAGAAACAAAGGCAUCUUCUUUCAGCUUUUUGACAAAAACAACCCAAUUUACUCGAUGGAAUUACAAAUUACGGUUCCCUUGCAGAUGCUUUUCAAUUUCGUACACUCUGGGGCAUCAAACUCUUUAACCUUGGCAGGGUAACAUUAGCACUACCGUUCGAACCUAGGCUGCCUUCAUCAUUGUCUCCUAUUACCUCAUCCAUUUCUACACAUGAUUUGACUGCCAACUCUCGGCGGUUAUGGAGGUUAUUUAGCAAACUCCGAGGAAAAUUUUCUUCAUUUUCCCACAAUCCAGAAUCUCCAACUUUUGAAGCUGGGUAAAUUCAUCACAUGGAAGAUGUGCCGCUGUUACUCCUCCGCUGCUCUAUAGGAGACGAAGGAGGAAGAUGAUUUGAAGCUGGAAUUAUGAUGAAGGGGCAGAUCAAGAUUCAUUCAUGGUUUCAGAGCAGCAGCAUCAGUUACUGCAAGGUUCUUGUUCAUUCUCAUGCCAGUCCAGACAUAUGUUAACUUGCACUUAAAUCUAGAACUAAUUCAAACAUGAUAUUUGAACUUAUUCUUUGUCUUGCCUAGUACUACUAUGUUUGAUAAUGUAAACUUUAUGUUACUGUUUGUUCCAUAAAUCUCCUGCAAGCAUCGAAUGUUGGUAAUGUCAUGAUUAUUAGUGUUAACAGAUGUGCUUAAUAAUGGAUAUUA